RNAcentral lists this ribosomal RNA (1319 nucleotides) under Staphylococcus aureus. Its description in RNAcentral is "partial 23S ribosomal RNA". It matches the Rfam family "Bacterial large subunit ribosomal RNA", at positions 767 to 2086 of the family's 2925-position model. The record is from RNAcentral. Lineage: Bacteria; Bacillati; Bacillota; Bacilli; Caryophanales; Staphylococcaceae.
UGGAGGACCGAACCGACUUACGUUGAAAAGUGAGCGGAUGAACUGAGGGUAGCGGAGAAAUUCCAAUCGAACCUGGAGAUAGCUGGUUCUCUCCGAAAUAGCUUUAGGGCUAGCCUCAAGUGAUGAUUAUUGGAGGUAGAGCACUGUUUGGACGAGGGGCCCCUCUCGGGUUACCGAAUUCAGACAAACUCCGAAUGCCAAUUAAUUUAACUUGGGAGUCAGAACAUGGGUGAUAAGGUCCGUGUUCGAAAGGGAAACAGCCCAGACCACCAGCUAAGGUCCCAAAAUAUAUGUUAAGUGGAAAAGGAUGUGGCGUUGCCCAGACAACUAGGAUGUUGGCUUAGAAGCAGCCAUCAUUUAAAGAGUGCGUAAUAGCUCACUAGUCGAGUGACACUGCGCCGAAAAUGUACCGGGGCUAAACAUAUUACCGAAGCUGUGGAUUGUCCUUUGGACAAUGGUAGGAGAGCGUUCUAAGGGCGUUGAAGCAUGAUCGUAAGGACAUGUGGAGCGCUUAGAAGUGAGAAUGCCGGUGUGAGUAGCGAAAGACGGGUGAGAAUCCCGUCCACCGAUUGACUAAGGUUUCCAGAGGAAGGCUCGUCCGCUCUGGGUUAGUCGGGUCCUAAGCUGAGGCCGACAGGCGUAGGCGAUGGAUAACAGGUUGAUAUUCCUGUACCACCUAUAAUCGUUUUAAUCGAUGGGGGGACGCAGUAGGAUAGGCGAAGCGUGCGAUUGGAUUGCACGUCUAAGCAGUAAGGCUGAGUAUUAGGCAAAUCCGGUACUCGUUAAGGCUGAGCUGUGAUGGGGAGAAGACAUUGUGUCUUCGAGUCGUUGAUUUCACACUGCCGAGAAAAGCCUCUAGAUAGAAAAUAGGUGCCCGUACCGCAAACCGACACAGGUAGUCAAGAUGAGAAUUCUAAGGUGAGCGAGCGAACUCUCGUUAAGGAACUCGGCAAAAUGACCCCGUAACUUCGGGAGAAGGGGUGCUCUUUAGGGUUAACGCCCAGAAGAGCCGCAGUGAAUAGGCCCAAGCGACUGUUUAUCAAAAACACAGGUCUCUGCUAAACCGUAAGGUGAUGUAUAGGGGCUGACGCCUGCCCGGUGCUGGAAGGUUAAGAGGAGUGGUUAGCUUCUGCGAAGCUACGAAUCGAAGCCCCAGUAAACGGCGGCCGUAACUAUAACGGUCCUAAGGUAGCGAAAUUCCUUGUCGGGUAAGUUCCGACCCGCACGAAAGGCGUAACGAUUUGGGCACUGUCUCAACGAGAGACUCGGUGAAAUCAUAGUACCUGUGAAGAUGCAGGUUACCCGCGACAGGACGGAAA